AUCCCCGAUAUGGAGGCGGGGAACCCAAAACACCAAGAGCAGUGGGUGCUUAGGAAGCCACAGAGCUGGGAGUAGAGCCCCAGCAGCCUGAUCCAGAGCCCCUGUUCUUCACCACCACCCUGCCCUCCUCCAGGGAGCACAAUGGGGGUCCCGGAGCCUCUUUCCAUCUGUUGGAUCUCGGUGAGAGGCCAGGUGCAAGCAGUUUUCCAAAGCAGGCUGAUCAGAGAAGGCCUCCAAUUAUGUGUGGGGGAGGGGAAGUGGCCUCACACAGACAUGACCCUGUGCCACCACGAAAGCAGGGACACUCAUGCUGGGUCCUAGGUCUUCUGAGAGCCACCAUUCACUGAUUGCAGGCACGGUGACCCUCCACCCCCAGCCUAGCCUCCCAUUCCCUGCUCUGGCAGAGCUUGUAUGCUAGAAUGAGCUUCCAAAAAUUCCUCCACUCAGUUUGUUCCUUUGUUCAUUCCUUUGUCCAUUUAACAAACAUUUACUGCGGGUCUACACUGUGGUAGACUCUGUGUUCAGAAUAAUACAAAGAUGAAUAAGACGAUGGCCCAGACUUCAGGCAACUUAUGGUGCCAUAGGGGAAGACAAAUAAAAAAUGAUAGAAUUUGCUAGAAUUUGCUGAGCAUCUAUCUAGUGCCAGGCAUUGAAGAAUGCACUAGGGACACAAAGCUUGUGGAUUCAGGGGAUUUGGUCAAAGCUAAUUUAUCCUAGAGUAAUUUGAAUGACUGUAAGUUGGCCAAGACCUAGGUGCAGGAACGCAAGUUUGUUAAUACGGCAAUUUGAUCCAAACACCUCCAGGUCUCUCGCCAUCCAAACUGAACAGCUCCUGAUGGUGAGAAAUACUUCACUUAGUUAAACAUGAGUGUGUCUUAGUCUUGUUUGAGUCUUGGUAAUUUUCAAACACCAUGGGAGUACUUUUGCAAUUCUUUAUGCAUCUUUAAGCAUUUUAUCUGUUUUUCUAAGUUAUUUUCUUCCAAAUCAUACACUGCCACAAGCAAUCAGUAUUGGAGUACAGCACCAGAAAAUGAAGUAAAAGAAGAUGAAGGAAUUGAAAUGAGGUUCCCCCAGCUGGGAACACACGAUGCAGAAAGGCUAAUUCCAACAAAACUGGAGAAUAAUGUACCCCCAACUCUGUGCUAACACCGAGGCACUCAGCGAAGUCAUGGGCCUUGUCCAUGUGAUUCAUUGAGGUAUCCCGGAACCUAGAACAAUGCCUGGCAUGCACAAGUGAUCAACAAAUGUUCAAUGAAUAAAUAAUGGGUGGGGAUUUAAAAAACAACAACUAGAGACAAUGCUUUACUGGUUUAAAAAAUGAACGGGUUUUGUCAGGAAACAAGGGAAGAAAUCUGUAUUAAUUGAGUCCCUACUGUGGGCCAGGCACAGAGCUAAGUGAUUUAGUUCUAAGUCAUUAAAUCCUCACAACAGUGAGGUGAAGUAUUGUCAUUCCCACCUAACAGAGGACACUGAGGCUCAGGGAGCUUAUGUAGCUUGCUUAGGGUUACCAAAUGUAAGAGCUAUAAGAAGAAAGGUGAAGGACGCCCCUGGCUAAGACGGUGUACUUUCCUGCAGGCUUGCAUAAGGCAUAAUGCAUCCUAAUUCAGGAACAGCUAAUCAUGGCCAAACAUUACUCCAGAAAGAAUUUUAAAUAUUGUUAAUGUGUAACUAUUCAAAAUGCUUUCCUUUUAUAGGUUUAUAGAAGAAUAGUUUCAGGGCUGUAGCAGUGAUAUCCAGUAACAUUCAAUAUGAAGGAGCUCUGUGAAGGCUAAUUUACAGAAUCAUGGCUGUGCUUUUUUAACUCUUCAUGUAUAUUUAGGCAUUUUCCUGUGUUUCCAAAUGAACCCUGUUCCUCCUGUUCCUCCUCCUCCUCCUGUUCCUCUUCCUGUUCCUGCUCCUGUUCCUGCUCCUUUAGGAAAGGCUCAUGCAAUGGAAUCUGAGGCCUGUUGGUCAUUUGCAAAUCUUCAUGGCAGUGGGCUCAAGUCAAGGGUGAGAGAGCCAUGGGCUCUGAUUUGGAAAUGACCAAAGCUCAAGAAGCCUACAUUCCUCAACAUGAGUCCUAACUGAGGCUAAAGCAACGGGACACCCCCACAGCCACAAGACCAUCCACCACCCAGAGGUCCUGUAGCUGAAUAAAAUAUCAAUCCUUUGGGAGUUAAGGAGAAAUAUAGCACCUGCUUGGGAAAAACUGGAGAAUACAAGAAAAUUCAGUGCCAUUCACUAAGCACUUAUUGAGGACCCCUGAGCUCCAAGCCUUAAGUAGGACGGAGGAUUAGAAAAGAUAGCAACUAAGACAAGAUUGUUCUCAAGAAUAUUACCGCAAGUGUUGCUAACACUGCUAGCCCUUUAAGGCCAGCUGGGAAAAGCACAAUCAGGCAGCCAUCCAGGCAAACUGGAGAAAGCACCCAUUUAGACAUUAGAGAGAUCGCAGUUCAAAUCCCCACUCCUCCCAUUAAUACCUAACUGACAUGGAGGGAAUUACCUAACUUCUCUGAGCCCAAGUCUUCUCCUCAGUGUAACUAAGCUGAAGAGUUCUGAGGUUAAGGGGUGCCUUUGAAAGAAGAGGAUCUGGGUGAGAGGAGGCAAUGCUGAGGGAGUCUUGCUGGAAAAAGCAGCAAUGUGGCAGAGGGCCUGAUACAAAGGACACAAGUCACUAUUAUCCUGGAAGGUUGCACGUGGAGGCAGGUGAAACCUAAUCUCCAGAGAUUCUCUCAUCUCUAGACUCUAGAGAUUCUAGAGAACCUCCCAGUUUCUGUAGAGAGUCAGGAAGCCUUUAUUUUCUUAAAUCCAUAGGGAUUGAUGAGAAGAUUCAUGGAACAAACGAAGGGCUAGUAGUAGAUAAGGCUUUACAGGUAGGCUGGAGCAAAUUGAGAAGUUGAGUGCUGUCCUAAGGCAGUAAACUUUAUCCUUGAGGAGAUGAAGGUUUGAAGACAGGAAGCUGGUGCCUUAGGAGGUUCACACUGGUGGCUGGGGUCUGGGAGAGCAGUUAAGAGGCUAUACUGAUGGGCCCAGUGAGAACCCACAGGAGCGGGAGGGAAGGAGGAGAGGUGUUUGUCAAGUGAAGGGAUACAAGUGAGAAUUGUUAUUAAUGGGAUCUGGUGGGGAGAGAAGAUGGCUUUAUCACUGGAGAGUUCACUGAAUUCAGAAACCCAGGAGGCAGACAAGUAGGGCUGGCAGGAAGAGGAUCAGCCUAGAUUUACAGCUGCCAAAACGAAAAUGCUAGAAGGAUGCUUGCGUGCAGGGAAUAUCCUGCCGGCAGCGGGAAAGGGGCACAGGGCACAAGGAGAAGCUGAUGGCCAGAUGUAGACGUGGGAACCAGCUUCACAAAAGUAAGGGCUGAAAAUGUGUCGUUGGAUACAAAUCCCUAAGGGAGAAAAGGCAGGGAGAAGAGGGUCAAGGCAAUACCCCGAAAGACCACUGAGAAAUAUAGACUUUGGGAUGGAGACCAAGAAAGAGCAAUCUCAAAGGAGUGAAGGGAGAAGAGUUUCAAGAAUGGUGCUGUCCAUGGCCAGAAACUGCGGCUGUCAUGGGGUAUGGAGGAGACAGCAUGUGAGUAGGUGACAGCGAGGACACAGGUGACCUCUGUGAGAGUGACACAGUAAUAGGUGAAGAACUGACAUUGUGAGGGUUGAAGGUCAAUGGUUGAAACUGCUGAAGAAGAAGCGGGAGAUGACAGGAAGGGACUGGGCCUUCUAGAAGAUCUGUAAGAGAGGAGAGGAAGGCCAGGUAGUGGUAGCUUGUAGAGAAAGUUUUCUUGAAGAUUUGGUGUUUUCUACAGACACACAGGGGAGGGAGCAGGGGAAUGAGACAGACAGGAAGACGUGAGAGAGAAAGGAUUCAUAGAAGACAAGAAGACAGGCCCAGCAGCCCUGAACAGGACCUGGAAAUGCAGAACUCCAUGCAAGUCUGACUUCUGGUGCUGAAGAACAUCAGCCACUAAGCAGCACAGACAGAGCCCAUGCCUGUGCUGUCCUCACACCCAACAUGAGGACUAAGUAUUGGCUUCAUCAUCAGUGAGAUUUCCUAAGGAGAAUUUCACACCGAGGUGAUCAGUUGUGUGUUGCGGGAAGUCAGGGACCCCGAACGGAGGGACUGGCUGGAGCUGUGGCAGAGGAACAUGAAUUGUGAAGAU
Molecule: long non-coding RNA, 4132 nt
Filed under: Homo sapiens (human)
Lineage: Eukaryota; Metazoa; Chordata; Mammalia; Primates; Hominidae
Description: HSALNT0351266
Source: RNAcentral